UCCAGACUCCUACGGGAGGCAGCAGUGGGGAAUAUUGCACAAUGGGGGGAACCCUGAUGCAGCGACGCCGCGUGGGUGAAGGAGUAUUUCGGUAUGUAAAGCCCUAUCAGCAGGGAAGAACAAUGACGGUACCUGACUAAGAAGCACCGGCUAAAUACGUGCCAGCAGCCGCGGUAAUACGUAUGGUGCAAGCGUUAUCCGGAUUUACUGGGUGUAAAGGGGGCGCAGACGGCGAUGCAAGCCAGGAGUGAAAGCCCGGGGCCCAACCCCGGGACUGCUCUUGGAACUGCGUGGCUGGAGUGCAGGAGGGGCAGGCGGAAUUCCUGGUGUAGCGGUGAAAUGCGUAGAUAUCAGGAGGAACACCGGUGGCGAAGGCGGCCUGCUGGACUGCAACUGACGUUGAGGCCCGAAAGCGUGGGGAGCAAACAGGAUUAGAUGCCCCUGUA
Molecule: ribosomal RNA, 446 nt
Filed under: uncultured bacterium
Lineage: Bacteria
Description: bacterial SSU rRNA
Rfam family: Bacterial small subunit ribosomal RNA
Source: RNAcentral